GACGAACGCUGGCGGCGUGCUUAACACAUGCAAGUCGAACGGAAAGGCCCUGCUUUUGUGGGGUGCUCGAGUGGCGAACGGGUGAGUAACACGUGAGUAACCUGCCCUUGACUUUGGGAUAACUUCAGGAAACUGGGGCUAAUACCGGAUAGGAGCUCCUGCUGCAUGGUGGGGGUUGGAAAGUUUCGGCGGUUGGGGAUGGACUCGCGGCUUAUCAGCUUGUUGGUGGGGUAGUGGCUUACCAAGGCUUUGACGGGUAGCCGGCCUGAGAGGGUGACCGGCCACAUUGGGACUGAGAUACGGCCCAGACUCCUACGGGAGGCAGCAGUGGGGAAUAUUGCACAUUGGGCGGAAGCCUGAUGCAGCAACGCCGCGUGCGGGAUGAAGGCCUUCGGGUUGUAAACCGCUUUCGCCUGUGACGAAGCGUGAGUGACGGUAAUGGGUAAAGAAGCACCGGCUAACUACGUG
This 468-nucleotide ribosomal RNA is filed under the name uncultured bacterium. RNAcentral's name for it is "partial 16S ribosomal RNA". It matches the Rfam family "Bacterial small subunit ribosomal RNA", at positions 28 to 507 of the family's 1533-position model. The record is from RNAcentral.